This 306-nucleotide ribosomal RNA is filed under the name uncultured bacterium. RNAcentral describes it as "bacterial SSU rRNA". It matches the Rfam family "Bacterial small subunit ribosomal RNA", at positions 29 to 325 of the family's 1533-position model. The record is from RNAcentral.
AGCGAACGCUGGCGGUAUGCUUAACACAUGCAAGUCGAGCGCGAAAGUGACUUCGGUCAUGAGUAGAGCGGCGGACGGGUGAGUAACACGUGGAUAAUCUGCCUUUAGGACUGGGAUAACCCUGGGAAACUAGGGCUAAUACCGGAUAAGACCACAGGUUCCAUGGAACCAGGGGUAAAAGGCGGCCUUCGGGCUGUCGCCGAAAGAUGAGUCCGCGUCCCAUCAGGUAGUUGGUGAGGAACGGCUCACCAAGCCGAAGACGGGUAGCCGACCUUAGCGGGUGAUCGGCCACACGGGGACUGAGAC